Molecule: long non-coding RNA, 966 nt
Organism: Poecilia latipinna (sailfin molly)
Lineage: Eukaryota; Metazoa; Chordata; Actinopteri; Cyprinodontiformes; Poeciliidae
Exons: 5
Source: RefSeq, a predicted model, not a curated record
GCAUUUCAUCACUUUCUUUCUCUGACAAACUUUAAAUUUGACUUCUCGUGUUAUCAGUGUGGACACCACCCACCGGUAAUAAUAGCGGAUGCAAACUGGAAACUGGCUUUUGACAUACCACUUGGCACAUUUAAAAGACCAAAUCCUGAUGACAUUUCUGACAAGGAACUUGAAGUUGAUAUUGUUAAGGCGUGGUCCGAUUUAGACAAAUCAAUAAUCGCAGAUGCCCUCAUUUCAGGAACAACAGUUGCGAAUCCAUUCAGCACAUCAACUCAACACUCGACUUUGGCACCCUGGAUGGGACAGCACACCCGAGUUGGAAACGUUCUUCCAAAAACCGAAAUGAAAAAGGCAUUGAAAAAAAAACAGGACAACACCACACAUACAACGAGAGAGAUAAACGAAGACAUAAUUUUGGAACUCAUCGAAUCCAAAAAGCGUUCCAAGAAGGAUCUUCAAGAUGCUUGCCUUUCUCUGGUUGUGUCAUCUGAGGGGACAAUAGCAGAGCUCAUUAAUAGGCUCCAGGAACUGCUAUGUUUUAAAGAUGUCUAUCCUAAACUUUUCCUGAAGCUGCAGAAAGCUGGUGGUGGUGUCCUUCACCUCUCAUGUAUGCAUGGUGUCGUUUAUUACGUGAACUUCCUGUUCUGGAUGGAGUCUGCCAGAGAUCAUGCAGACGGUUUGCUGAGCUUUAAAAACCUCCCUACAUGCUACAUUUCAGAUGUAGCUGGCCAGGUCACAAGACACACCAACAACCGCACCAAACAGCUCUACUUCCAUCUCAUGAUGGCCGACUUUGUGCCCCAACGGCAGAAAACAUCAAAAAAGCAGAGCAAAAGGAAUUACAGAUUAACAUGGAGUGGGUCAAAAAAUUGAGAUGUCCUUUGCCAAUGCAUACAGACGACGGGAUCAACCAAUUUGUACGACAACAUCCAUUAACAGGGACAUGUGAGAGAUAUUCUCUGUAUG